AUUGAACGCUGGCGGCAUGCCUUACACAUGCAAGUCGAACGGCAGCACGGGUGCUUGCACCUGGUGGCGAGUGGCGAACGGGUGAGUAAUACAUCGGAACAUGUCCUGUAGUGGGGGAUAGCCCGGCGAAAGCCGGAUUAAUACCGCAUACGAUCCACGGAUGAAAGCGGGGGACCUUCGGGCCUCGCGCUAUAGGGUUGGCCGAUGGCUGAUUAGCUAGUUGGUGGGGUAAAGGCCUACCAAGGCGACGAUCAGUAGCUGGUCUGAGAGGACGACCAGCCACACUGGGACUGAGACACGGCCCAGACUCCUACGGGAGGCAGCAGUGGGGAAUUUUGGACAAUGGGCGAAAGCCUGAUCCAGCAAUGCCGCGUGUGUGAAGAAGGCCUUCGGGUUGUAAAGCACUUUUGUCCGGAAAGAAAUCCUUGACUCUAAUACAGUCGGGGGAGGACGGUACCGGAAGAAUAAGCACCGGCUAACUACGUG
This 486-nucleotide ribosomal RNA is filed under the name uncultured bacterium. RNAcentral's name for it is "partial 16S ribosomal RNA". It matches the Rfam family "Bacterial small subunit ribosomal RNA", at positions 30 to 507 of the family's 1533-position model. The record is from RNAcentral.